CAUUGCUUGGAUCCCUUUAAAUCUUUAAAGGCUGAAGUCUUCCUUGCUUGCUUGUGUUCUUAAAACGAUGAUCUCCUGAUUUCUCUCCUUUUCUCCCCUUUCUGCUUCACACCACAACUAACGGAGGAAUUAAUUCACAGGCAGUCCCCCAGCCAGAUGCAUAUAUGUAUGAAAUACCGAAGAUAGGAUCUCUGUUUGCAAUUCUUCAACUCCCAUGCACGUGGUCUGAGGUUUCAGUAGGGGGAAACAAGCUGUUCCUUACAAGAGCAACAGUGAUGGUGUAGCGUUCUCUGAAAGAAGAUCCUGGCAAUGCAAAGGAGAAAGUUUUGUUUUCAGUAGUGGAGAUAGAUGAAUCAGAGAAGGGAAGGAAAGGAAAGAAGAAUAAAGACAGAGGAGAAUGGCA
RNAcentral lists this long non-coding RNA (403 nucleotides) under Struthio camelus australis. RNAcentral describes it as "lncRNA (ENSSCUG00000001129.1)". The record is from RNAcentral. Lineage: Eukaryota; Metazoa; Chordata; Aves; Struthioniformes; Struthionidae.